Molecule: non-coding RNA, 960 nt
Filed under: Carcharhinus falciformis (silky shark)
Lineage: Eukaryota; Metazoa; Chordata; Chondrichthyes; Carcharhiniformes; Carcharhinidae
Description: 12S ribosomal RNA
Rfam family: Bacterial small subunit ribosomal RNA
Source: RNAcentral
GUAAGGUUUGGUCCUGGCCUUAGUGUUAAUUGUAACUAGAAUUAUACAUGCAAGUUUCAGCCCUCCCGUGAGAAUGCCCUAAUUAUUCUAUUAAAUAACUAGGAGCAGGUAUCAGGCACACAUACACGUAGCCCAAGACAUCUUGCUAAGCCACUCCCCCAAGGGAUUUCAGCAGUAAUAAACAUUGACUUCAUAAGCGCAAGCUUGACUCAGUUAAAGUUAACAGAGUUGGUUAAUCUCGUGCCAGCCACCGCGGUUAUACGAGUAACUCACAUUAACACACCCCGGCGUAAAGAGUGAUUAAAGAAUGACCUCUAACCACUAAAGUUUAGACCUCAUAAAACUGUUAUACGUGUUCAUGAAUGGAAUAAACAACAACGAAAGUGACUUUACAAAUUAAGGAACCUUGAUGUCACGACAGUUGGGACCCAAACUAGGAUUAGAUACCCUACUAUGCCCAACCACAAACUUAGACAACACCCCACUAUAUUGUUCGCCAGAGUACUACAAGCGCUAGCUUAAAAACCCAAAGGACUUGGCGGUAUCCCAUACCCACCUAGAGGAGCCUGUUCUAUAACCGAUAAUCCCCGUUCAACCUCACCACUUCUUGCCAUUACCGUCUAUAUACCGCCGUCGUCAGCCCACCCUGUGAAGGACUAAAAGUAAGCAAAAAGAAUAAAACUCCAAAACGUCAGGUCGAGGUGUAGCAAAUGAAGUGGGAAGAAAUGGGCUACAUUUUUUUCCAAAAAUAUACGAAUGGUAAACUGAAAACACACCUAAAGGUGGAUUUAGCAGUAAGAGGAGAUCAGAAUACUCCCCUGAAAUCGGCUCUGGGAUAAGCACACACCGCCCGUCACUCUCCUCAAAAAAUAACUUACCCUUUUCCAUAAAUACAUUUCUUCAACAAGAGGAGGCAAGUCGUAACAUGGUAAGUGUACUGGAAAGUGCACUUGGAAUCAA